GUAGGUGGCAAGCGUUGUCCGGAAUUAUUGGGCGUAAAGCGCGCGCAGGCGGUCCUUUAAGUCUGAUGUGAAAGCCCACGGCUCAACCGUGGAGGGUCAUUGGAAACUGGUGGACUUGAGUACAGAAGAGGAAAGCGGAAUUCCAAGUGUAGCGGUGAAAUGCGUAGAGAUUUGGAGGAACACCAGUGGCGAAGGCGGCUUUCUGGUCUGUAACUGACGCUGAGGCGCGAAAGCGUGGGGAGCAAACAGGGAUUAGAUACCCUGGUAGUCCACGCCGUAAACGAUGAGUGCUAAGUGUUAGGGGGUUUCCCGCCCCCUUAGUGCUGCAGCUAACGCAUUAAGCACUCCGCCUGGGGAGUACGCCGCAAGGCUG
This 373-nucleotide ribosomal RNA is filed under the name uncultured organism. RNAcentral describes it as "partial 16S ribosomal RNA". It matches the Rfam family "Bacterial small subunit ribosomal RNA", at positions 527 to 896 of the family's 1533-position model. The record is from RNAcentral.